RNAcentral lists this ribosomal RNA (406 nucleotides) under uncultured bacterium. Its description in RNAcentral is "partial 16S ribosomal RNA". It matches the Rfam family "Bacterial small subunit ribosomal RNA", at positions 29 to 526 of the family's 1533-position model. The record is from RNAcentral.
AUUGAACGCUGGCGGCAGGCCUAACACAUGCAAGUCGAACGAGUGGCGGACGGGUGAGUAAUGCCUGGGAAACUGCCUGAUGGCGGGGGAUAACUACUGGAAACGGUAGCUAAUACCGCAUACCAUCAGAUGUGCCCAGAUGGGAUUAGCUGGUUGGUGGGGUAACGGCGCGCCAAGGCGACGAUCCCUAGCUGGUCUGAGAGGAUGACCAGCAACCCGGGAACUGAGAAACGGUCCGGACUCCUACGGGAGGAAGCAGUGGGGAAGAUUGCACAAGGGGAGAAAGCCUGAUGCAGCCAUGCCGCGUGUAUGAAGAAGGCCUUCGGGUUGUAAAGUACUUUCAGCGGGGAGGCGUUACCCGCAGAAGAAGCACCGGCUAACUCCGUGCCAGCAGCCGCGGUAAUAC